GGGAUCGUAGCUCAGCUUGGUUAGAGCGCCGCCCUGUCAAGGCGGAGGUCGCGGGUUCGAGCCCCGUCGGUCCCG
Molecule: transfer RNA, 75 nt
Filed under: Bacteroidota bacterium
Lineage: Bacteria; Pseudomonadati; Bacteroidota
Also listed under: 2 other names
Description: tRNA-Asp
Rfam family: tRNA
About the family: Transfer RNA (tRNA) molecules are approximately 80 nucleotides in length. Their secondary structure includes four short double-helical elements and three loops (D, anti-codon, and T loops). Further hydrogen bonds mediate the characteristic L-shaped molecular structure. tRNAs have two regions of fundamental functional importance: the anti-codon, which is responsible for specific mRNA codon recognition, and the 3' end, to which the tRNAs corresponding amino acid is attached (by aminoacyl-tRNA synthetases). tRNAs cope with the degeneracy of the genetic code in two manners: having more than one tRNA (with a specific anti-codon) for a particular amino acid; and 'wobble' base-pairing, i.e. permitting non-standard base-pairing at the 3rd anti-codon position.
Source: RNAcentral